RNAcentral lists this ribosomal RNA (462 nucleotides) under uncultured bacterium. RNAcentral describes it as "bacterial SSU rRNA". It matches the Rfam family "Bacterial small subunit ribosomal RNA", at positions 28 to 498 of the family's 1533-position model. The record is from RNAcentral.
GAUGAACGCUGGCGGCGUGCUUAACACAUGCAAGUCGAACGGGAUCCCAGGAGCUUGCUCCUGGGUGAGAGCGGCGAACGGGUGAGUAAUGCGUGACCGACCUGCCCCAUACACCGGAAUAGCUCCUGGAAACGGGUGGUAAUGCCGGAUGCUCCAGUUGGAUGCAUGUCCUUCUGGGAAAGAUUCAUCGGUAUGGGAUGGGGUCGCGUCCUAUCAGCUUGAUGGCGGGGUAACGGCCCACCAUGGCUUCGACGGGUAGCCGGCCUGAGAGGGCGACCGGCCACAUUGGGACUGAGAUACGGCCCAGACUCCUACGGGAGGCAGCAGUGGGGAAUAUUGCACAAUGGGCGCAAGCCUGAUGCAGCGACGCCGCGUGCGGGAUGACGGCCUUCGGGUUGUAAACCGCUUUUGACUGGGAGCAAGCCCUUCGGGGUGAGUGUACCUUUCGAAUAAGCACCGACU